AAAAUAACAAUGAUUUCCCCAGUAACGGCGAGUGAAGAGGAAAGAGCUCAAAGUUGGAACCUGCUUGGCUUAGCCAAGCCGGAUUGUAAACUGUAGAAGUGUUUUCCUGACACGCCAGGCAAAAAAGUCCUUUGGAACAGGGCAUCAUAGAGGGUGAGAAUCCCGUCUUUGGCCUGAGCAGUUGUCUUUUGCGAUACACUUUCAAAGAGUCAGGUUGUUUGGGAAUGCAGCCUAAAUUGGGUGGUAAAUCUCACCUAAAGCUAAAUAUUGGCGAGAGACCGAUAGCGAACAAGUACCGUGAGGGAAAGAUGAAAAGAACUUUGAAAAGAGAGUUAAACAGUAUGUGAAAUUGUUAAAAGGGAACCGUUUGGAGCCAGACUGGCUUGGCUGUAAUCAAUCUGGGCUUUUGCCCGGAUGCACUUGCGGCCUAUGCCUGCCAACGACAGUUUUAUUUGGGGGAAAAAACCAGGCGGAAUGUGGCCCCUUWGGGGGUGUUAUAGCCUCUUGGAAAAUACCCUGGAUUGGACUGAGGAUCGCAGCGAAUGCCAUUAGGCGAGAUUGCGGCGUGCUUUCGCUGAUAAAUGCUAGAAUUUCUGCUUCGGGUGGUGCUAGUGUUUAAAGGUGGAACCCGCGCUGUAUAUUUUUUAUUCGCUUAGGUUGUUGGCUUAAUGACUCUAAAUGAC
RNAcentral lists this ribosomal RNA (683 nucleotides) under Actinomucor elegans. RNAcentral describes it as "LSU rRNA". It matches the Rfam family "Eukaryotic large subunit ribosomal RNA", at positions 62 to 648 of the family's 3401-position model. The record is from RNAcentral. Lineage: Eukaryota; Fungi; Mucoromycota; Mucoromycetes; Mucorales; Mucoraceae.